UACGAAGGGGCUAGCGUUGCUCGGAAUCACUGGGCGUAAAGGUGCGUAGGCGGUCUUUAAGUCAGGGUGAAAUCCUGGAGCUCAACUCCAGAACUGCCUUUGAUACUGAGGAUCUUGAGUUCGGAGAGGUGAGUGGAACUGCGAGUGUAGAGGUGAAAUUCGUAGAUAUUCGCAAGAACACCAGUGGCGAAGGCGGCUCACUGGCCCGAUACUGACGCUGAGGCACGAAAGCGUGGGGAGCAAACAGG
RNAcentral lists this ribosomal RNA (248 nucleotides) under uncultured bacterium. RNAcentral describes it as "partial 16S ribosomal RNA". It matches the Rfam family "Bacterial small subunit ribosomal RNA", at positions 524 to 776 of the family's 1533-position model. The record is from RNAcentral.